This 506-nucleotide ribosomal RNA is filed under the name uncultured bacterium. RNAcentral describes it as "partial 16S ribosomal RNA". It matches the Rfam family "Bacterial small subunit ribosomal RNA", at positions 29 to 523 of the family's 1533-position model. The record is from RNAcentral.
AGUGAACGCUGGCGGUAGGCCUAACACAUGCAAGUCGAACGGCAGCACAGGAGAGCUUGCUCUCUGGGUGGCGAGUGGCGGACGGGUGAGGAAUACAUCGGAAUCUACUCUGUCGUGGGGGAUAACGUAGGGAAACUUACGCUAAUACCGCAUACGACCUACGGGUGAAAGCAGGGGACCUUCGGUCCUUGCGCGAUUGAAUGCGCCGAAGUCGGAUUAGCUAGUUGGCGGGGUAAAGGCCCACCAAGGCGACGAUCCGUAGCUGGUCUGAGAGGAUGAUCAGCCACACUGGAACUGAGACACGGUCCAGACUCCUACGGGAGGCAGCAGUGGGGAAUAUUGGACAAUGGGCGCAAGCCUGAUCCAGCCAUACCGCGUGGGUGAAGAAGGCCUUCGGGUUGUAAAGCCCUUUUGUUGGGAAAGAAAUCCAGCUGGCUAAUACCCGGUUGGGAUGACGGUACCCAAAGAAUAAGCACCGGCUAACUUCGUGCCAGCAGCCGCCGUAA